This 286-nucleotide unclassified non-coding RNA is filed under the name Hevea brasiliensis (rubber tree). Lineage: Eukaryota; Viridiplantae; Streptophyta; Magnoliopsida; Malpighiales; Euphorbiaceae. The record is from RNAcentral.
UUUUAAUGCAGUUAAAACUUAAAAUUUGACUUAGAAGUGCAUGGAACCUUCAAAUCACAUAACCUGCAAGGAGUGACAUGGCAAAAGGGCCUUUAGUACAUGCUGUGCCCUUUAUCGAAAGUGUGGGGUGCUAUGGGUGUUUUCACUGCAGAUUUUAAGGUUUUAUCUAUAUGUUUUGGAAGUUAAUACUCGAGUCCUUUUAUGAAUACAAGCUUAGCUGAAAAACUUCCAUCAUAUGAUGAAUUUCUUUUCCUUUCUUUCUUUCUAAAGACAUAGGAAACUACUG